This 460-nucleotide ribosomal RNA is filed under the name uncultured bacterium. Its description in RNAcentral is "partial 16S ribosomal RNA". It matches the Rfam family "Bacterial small subunit ribosomal RNA", at positions 338 to 795 of the family's 1533-position model. The record is from RNAcentral.
CCUACGGGAGGCAGCAGUGAGGAAUAUUGGUCAAUGGGCGCAAGCCUGAACCAGCCAAGUCGCGUGAGGGAUGACGGUCCUAUGGAUUGUAAACCUCUUUUGUCGGGGAGCAAGGCCCGCCACGUGUGGCGGGCUGGAUAGUACCCGAAGAAAAAGCAUCGGCUAACUCCGUGCCAGCAGCCGCGGUAAUACGGAGGAUGCGAGCGUUAUCCGGAUUUAUUGGGUUUAAAGGGUGCGUAGGCGGAAGGUUAAGUCAGCGGUAAAAUGUCGGUGCUCAACACCGGCCUGCCGUUGAAACUGGUAGUCUGGAGUGGGCGAGAAGUAUGCGGAAUGCGUGGUGUAGCGGUGAAAUGCAUAGAUAUCACGCAGAACUCCGAUUGCGAAGGCAGCGUACCGGUGCUCAACUGACGCUGAGGCACGAAAGCGUGGGGAUCGAACAGGAUUAGAUACCCGGGUAGUC